GAUGAACGCUGGCGGCGUGCUUAACACAUGCAAGUCGAACGGAAAGGCCCAACCUUCCUUGUGUUCUCGAGUGGCGAACGGGUGUGUAACACGUGUGUUAUCUGCCCUGCACUUCGGUAUACGCCUGGGAAACUGGGUCUAAUUCCGUAUAGGACGAUUGUUUGGGUUGUAUUGUGGAGAUUUUUUUCGGUGUGGGAUGAGCUCGCGGCCUAUCAGCUUGUUGGUGGGGUAAUGGCCUACCAAGGCGUCGACGGGUAGCCGGCCUGAGAGGGUGUACGGCCACAUUGGAAUGGGGAUAGGGCCCGGACUCCUAGGGGGGGAAGAAGGGGGGAAAGUGGGAAAAUGGGGGAAAGCGUGAGGAAGGAAGGCGGGGUGGGGGAUAAGGGCCUUCGGGUGGAAAACUCCUGUCGCUAGGGAGAAAGCGUUGUUGUGACGGUACCUGGAGAAGAAGCACCGGCUAACUACGUG
RNAcentral lists this ribosomal RNA (468 nucleotides) under uncultured bacterium. RNAcentral describes it as "partial 16S ribosomal RNA". It matches the Rfam family "Bacterial small subunit ribosomal RNA", at positions 28 to 507 of the family's 1533-position model. The record is from RNAcentral.